RNAcentral lists this ribosomal RNA (105 nucleotides) under Lepisosteus oculatus (spotted gar). The record is from RNAcentral. Lineage: Eukaryota; Metazoa; Chordata; Actinopteri; Semionotiformes; Lepisosteidae.
CCUGGUAGCCAUAUCACCCUGCAACUCACUGAAGUUAAGCAGGUGUGAGCCUGGUCAGUACCUGGAUUGGAGACCUCCUGGGAAAAACUAAGGUUGCUGCUGGAA